GAUCCUGGCUCAGAGUGAACGCUGGCGGCGUGCCUAAUACAUGCAAGUCGAACGAUGAAGCUUCUAGCUUGCUAGAAUGCUGAUUAGUGGCGCACGGGUGAGUAACGCAUAGGUUAUGUGCCUCUUAGUUUGGGAUAGCCAUUGGAAACGAUGAUUAAUACCAGAUACUCCCUACGGGGGAAAGAUUUAUCGCUAAGAGAUCAGCCUAUGUCCUAUCAGCUUGUUGG
This 227-nucleotide ribosomal RNA is filed under the name uncultured bacterium. Its description in RNAcentral is "partial 16S ribosomal RNA". It matches the Rfam family "Bacterial small subunit ribosomal RNA", at positions 15 to 252 of the family's 1533-position model. The record is from RNAcentral.